RNAcentral lists this ribosomal RNA (333 nucleotides) under Bizionia paragorgiae. RNAcentral's name for it is "bacterial SSU rRNA". It matches the Rfam family "Bacterial small subunit ribosomal RNA", at positions 486 to 818 of the family's 1533-position model. Lineage: Bacteria; Pseudomonadati; Bacteroidota; Flavobacteriia; Flavobacteriales; Flavobacteriaceae. The record is from RNAcentral.
AUAAGGAUCGGCUAACUCCGUGCCAGCAGCCGCGGUAAUACGGAGGAUGCAAGCGUUAUCCGGAAUCAUUGGGUUUAAAGGGUCCGUAGGUGGACAAUUAAGUCAGAGGUGAAAUCCUGCAGCUCAACUGUAGAAUUGCCUUUGAUACUGGUUGUCUUGAGUUAUUGUGAAGUGGUUAGAAUGUGUAGUGUAGCGGUGAAAUGCAUAGAUAUUACAUAGAAUACCGAUUGCGAAGGCAGAUUACUAAUAAUAUACUGACACUGAUGGACGAAAGCGUGGGGAGCGAACAGGAUUAGAUACCCUGGUAGUCCACGCCGUAAACGAUGGAUACUA